RNAcentral lists this ribosomal RNA (931 nucleotides) under bacterium. Its description in RNAcentral is "bacterial SSU rRNA". It matches the Rfam family "Bacterial small subunit ribosomal RNA", at positions 36 to 964 of the family's 1533-position model. The record is from RNAcentral.
UUUUCGCGCGCGGCUACACAUGCAGUCGAGCGGUAGAGAGAGCUUGCUUCUCUUGAGAGCGGCGGACGGGUGAGUAAUGCCUAGGAAUCUGCCUGGUAGUGGGGGAUAACGUUCGGAAACGGACGCUAAUACCGCAUACGUCCUACGGGAGAAAGCAGGGGACCUUCGGGCCUUGCGCUAUCAGAUGAGCCUAGGUCGGAUUAGCUAGUUGGUGGGGUAAUGGCUCACCAAGGCGACGAUCCGUAACUGGUCUGAGAGGAUGAUCAGUCACACUGGAACUGAGACACGGUCCAGACUCCUACGGGAGGCAGCAGUGGGGAAUAUUGGACAAUGGGCGAAAGCCUGAUCCAGCCAUGCCGCGUGUGUGAAGAAGGUCUUCGGAUUGUAAAGCACUUUAAGUUGGGAGGAAGGGCAGUAAAUUAAUACUUUGCUGUUUUGACGUUACCGACAGAAUAAGCACCGGCUAACUCUGUGCCAGCAGCCGCGGUAAUACAGAGGGUGCAAGCGUUAAUCGGAAUUACUGGGCGUAAAGCGCGCGUAGGUGGUUAGUUAAGUUGGAUGUGAAAUCCCCGGGCUCAACCUGGGAACUGCAUUCAAAACUGACUGACUAGAGUAUGGUAGAGGGUGGUGGAAUUUCCUGUGUAGCGGUGAAAUGCGUAGAUAUAGGAAGGAACACCAGUGGCGAAGGCGACCACCUGGACUGAUACUGACACUGAGGUGCGAAAGCGUGGGGAGCAAACAGGAUUAGAUACCCUGGUAGUCCACGCCGUAAACGAUGUCAACUAGCCGUUGGGAGCCUUGAGCUCUUAGUGGCGCAGCUAACGCAUUAAGUUGACCGCCUGGGGAGUACGGCCGCAAGGUUAAAACUCAAAUGAAUUGACGGGGGCCCGCACAAGCGGGGGAGCAUGUGGUUUAAUUCGAAGCAACGCGA